This 498-nucleotide ribosomal RNA is filed under the name uncultured bacterium. RNAcentral describes it as "partial 16S ribosomal RNA". It matches the Rfam family "Bacterial small subunit ribosomal RNA", at positions 30 to 523 of the family's 1533-position model. The record is from RNAcentral.
AUUGAACGCUGGCGGCAUGCCUUACACAUGCAAGUCGAACGGUAACAGGUCUUCGGAUGCUGACGAGUGGCGAACGGGUGAUUAAUACAUCGGAACGUGCCUAGUAGUGGGGGAUAACUACUCGAAAGAGUGGCUAAUACCGCAUGAGAUCUACGGAUGAAAGCAGGGGAUCGCAAGACCUUGUGCUACUAGAGCGGCCGAUGGCAGAUUAGGUAGUUGGUGGGAUAAAAGCUUACCAAGCCGACGAUCUGUAGCUGGUUUGAGAGGACGAUCAGCCACACUGGGACUGAGACACGGCCCAGACUCCUACGGGAGGCAGCAGUGGGGAAUUUUGGACAAUGGGCGAAAGCCUGAUCCAGCAAUGCCGCGUGCAGGAUGAAGGCCUUCGGGUUGUAAACUGCUUUUGUACGGAACGAAAAGCCCUGGGUUAAUACCCUGGGGUCAUGACGGUACCGUAAGAGUAAGCACCGGCUAACUUCGUGCCAGCAGCCGCAGUAA